AAAGGUCAUCAUGCUGGUAUCAACCAGGAAAAAUAAGGUUGCUUAAAGAUAUGAUUUUCAUGCAGUCCUGUUGCUAGUAAGUCAGGAUGCACAACAGCUUCAGGUCAGAUUAAACAAGUUGUAGUACGCACGGCGAUGCUAAGUAAGUAAUUUUGUUCUUGUUUCGGGUCCCUGUCUAGUCUAGUAGCUUAAUACUCCCUCUGUACCUAAAUACUUGUAGUUGGGGAGACACAUGCAAGUUGCUGUUUCGAUUGCACAGAAUUUAAUUAUGGCAGGCUACAUCCUUUGUUGUGGGCAGAUAAAUCAUGACAUAAGAGAAGUCAAUUUUGGUUCACAUACUACCUCGCUGUUGAGCUGGCGGGAGCGCAUGAGGCUGCCUGGCUCGAGGAGGUGUCGCAGGAGAAGGCAGGCCAGCAGGGAUAAGUAAAAAGUCAUUCUCGGGUCAACCAGCAAAAUAAGUAAGCAGCAGUAGGACAGGAUGUACAGGUUCAGGUCAGGUUAAGUAAUCUUGUUUUGUUUCUAGUAGUAGAUGUUGAUGUCGCGAGAUACAAAAAUCAUAAGAAUGAAAAGAUGUCAAUUUUGGUGAGGUUACCUCGCCGGAGACCUUGGUGGACAGGUGGCGGGAGCGCAUGAGCCUGCUUGGGGCGAG
This 649-nucleotide long non-coding RNA is filed under the name Hordeum vulgare. RNAcentral's name for it is "long non-coding RNA (HVUL_LNC016302)". The record is from RNAcentral. Lineage: Eukaryota; Viridiplantae; Streptophyta; Magnoliopsida; Poales; Poaceae.